RNAcentral lists this ribosomal RNA (700 nucleotides) under uncultured bacterium. Its description in RNAcentral is "bacterial SSU rRNA". It matches the Rfam family "Bacterial small subunit ribosomal RNA", at positions 807 to 1501 of the family's 1533-position model. The record is from RNAcentral.
CGUUGGGCACUAGGUGUGGGGGACAUUCCACGUUUUCCGCGCCGUAGCUAACGCAUUAAGUGCCCCGCCUGGGGAGUACGGCCGCAAGGCUAAAACUCAAAGGAAUUGACGGGGGCCCGCACAAGCGGCGGAGCAUGCGGAUUAAUUCGAUGCAACGCGAAGAACCUUACCAAGGCUUGACAUGAACCGGAAAGGCCUGGAAACAGGUCCCCCACUUGUGGCCGGUUUACAGGUGGUGCAUGGUUGUCGUCAGCUCGUGUCGUGAGAUGUUGGGUUAAGUCCCGCAACGAGCGCAACCCUCGUUCUAUGUUGCCAGCGGGUUAUGCCGGGGACUCAUAGGAGACUGCCGGGGUCAACUCGGAGGAAGGUGGGGACGACGUCAAAUCAUCAUGCCCCUUAUGUCUUGGGCUUCACGCAUGCUACAAUGGCCGGUACAAAGGGUUGCGAUACUGUGAGGUGGAGCUAAUCCCAAAAAGCCGGUCUCAGUUCGGAUUGAGGUCUGCAACUCGACCUCAUGAAGUUGGAGUCGCUAGUAAUCGCAGAUCAGCAACGCUGCGGUGAAUACGUUCCCGGGCCUUGUACACACCGCCCGUCAAGUCACGAAAGUUGGUAACACCCGAAGCCGGUGGCCUAACCCCUUGUGGGAGGGAGCCGUCGAAGGUGGGACCGGCGAUUGGGACUAAGUCGUAACAAGGUAACC